This 72-nucleotide transfer RNA is filed under the name Ictidomys tridecemlineatus (thirteen-lined ground squirrel). RNAcentral describes it as "Spermophilus tridecemlineatus (thirteen-lined ground squirrel) tRNA". It matches the Rfam family "tRNA". From Rfam's summary of the family: Transfer RNA (tRNA) molecules are approximately 80 nucleotides in length. Their secondary structure includes four short double-helical elements and three loops (D, anti-codon, and T loops). Lineage: Eukaryota; Metazoa; Chordata; Mammalia; Rodentia; Sciuridae. The record is from Rfam by way of RNAcentral.
AGAGUUGUGGCUCAGUGGUAGAGUGCUUGCCUAGCAUGUAUGAGGCACUGGGUUUGAUCCUCAGCACCACAU